GAUUAAGCCAUGCAUGUGUAAGUGUAAAUAAUUUUACUUUGAAACUGCGAAUGGCUCAUUAUAUCAGUUAUAGUUUAUUAGAAAUAUUUUACUACUUGGAUAACCGUAGUAAUUCUAGGGCUAAUACAUGAGUAAAACCUCAACUUCGGAAGAGGUGUGUUUAUUAGUAUGAAAACCAUAUAUCUUCGGAUAUAAUAGUGAGUAAUAAUAACCUUUCAUAUCGUAUGUCGUAAGAUAACGAUAGUUCUUUCAAGUUUCUGCCCUAUCAGCUUUCGAUGGUAGUAUAUGGGACUACCAUG
RNAcentral lists this ribosomal RNA (299 nucleotides) under Blastocystis sp. subtype 5. RNAcentral describes it as "partial small subunit ribosomal RNA". It matches the Rfam family "Eukaryotic small subunit ribosomal RNA", at positions 42 to 348 of the family's 1831-position model. The record is from RNAcentral. Lineage: Eukaryota; Bigyra; Opalinata; Blastocystidae.